UCCCUUGUAGCUCAGUUGGUAAAGAAUCUGCCUGCAAUGCAGGAGAUCCAGGUUUGAUUCCUGGGUCGGGAU
RNAcentral lists this transfer RNA (72 nucleotides) under Ovis aries (sheep). It matches the Rfam family "tRNA". Rfam says of the family: Transfer RNA (tRNA) molecules are approximately 80 nucleotides in length. Their secondary structure includes four short double-helical elements and three loops (D, anti-codon, and T loops). Lineage: Eukaryota; Metazoa; Chordata; Mammalia; Artiodactyla; Bovidae. The record is from Rfam by way of RNAcentral.